UACGAAGGGUGCUAGCGUUGUUCGGAAUCAUUGGGCGUAAAGCGUGCGUAGGCGGUUUGGUAAGUCGACUGUGAAAGCCCAGAGCUUAACUUUGGAAUUGCAGUCGAAACUACUUAACUAGAGUAUGGCGGGGGAUAGUGGAAUUCUUAGUGUAGGGGUGAAAUCCGUAGAUAUUAAGAGGAACACCAGUGGCGAAGGCGACUAUCUACACCAUUACUGACGCUGAGGCACGAAAGCGUGGGGAGCAAACAGG
This 253-nucleotide ribosomal RNA is filed under the name uncultured bacterium. RNAcentral describes it as "partial 16S ribosomal RNA". It matches the Rfam family "Bacterial small subunit ribosomal RNA", at positions 524 to 776 of the family's 1533-position model. The record is from RNAcentral.